This 491-nucleotide ribosomal RNA is filed under the name uncultured bacterium. RNAcentral's name for it is "partial 16S ribosomal RNA". It matches the Rfam family "Bacterial small subunit ribosomal RNA", at positions 29 to 507 of the family's 1533-position model. The record is from RNAcentral.
GUGAACGCUGGCGGUAGGCCUAACACCUGCAAGUCGAACGGCAGCACCGUAAGAGCUUGCUCUUACGGGUGGCGAGUGGCGGACGGGUGAGGAAUACAUCGGAAUCUACUUUUUCGUGGGGGAUAACGUAGGGAAACUUACGCUAAUACCGCAUACGACCUACGGGUGAAAGCAGGGGAUCUUCGGACCUUGCGCGAUUGAAUGAGCCGAUGUCGGAUUAGCUAGUUGGCGGGAUAAAGGCCCACCAAGGCGACGAUCCGUAGCUGGUCUGAGAGGAUGAUCAGCCACACUGGAACUGAGACACGGUCCAGACUCCUACGGGAGGCAGCAGUGGGGAAUAUUGGACAAUGGGCGCAAGCCUGAUCCAGCCAUACCGCGUGGGUGAAGAAGGCCUUCGGGUUGUAAAGCCCUUUUGUUGGGAAAGAAAAGCAGCAGGUUAAUACCCCGCUGUUCUGACGGUACCCAAAGAAUAAGCACCGGCUAACUUCGUG